CGAAUGACUCUCGGCAACGGAUAUCUCGGCUCUUGCAUCGAUGAAGAACGUAGCGAAAUGCGAUACUUGGUGUGAAUUGCAGAAUCCCGUGAACCAUCGAGUCUUUGAACGCAAGUUGCGCCCGAUGCCACUAGGUUGAGGGCACGUCUGCCUGGGCGUCACAC
This 164-nucleotide ribosomal RNA is filed under the name Caltha palustris var. membranacea. RNAcentral's name for it is "5.8S ribosomal RNA". It matches the Rfam family "5.8S ribosomal RNA". From Rfam's summary of the family: 5.8S ribosomal RNA (5.8S rRNA) is a component of the large subunit of the eukaryotic ribosome. It is transcribed by RNA polymerase I as part of the 45S precursor that also contains 18S and 28S rRNA. Functionally, it is thought that 5.8S rRNA may be involved in ribosome translocation. Lineage: Eukaryota; Viridiplantae; Streptophyta; Magnoliopsida; Ranunculales; Ranunculaceae. The record is from RNAcentral.